RNAcentral lists this ribosomal RNA (460 nucleotides) under uncultured bacterium. RNAcentral's name for it is "partial 16S ribosomal RNA". It matches the Rfam family "Bacterial small subunit ribosomal RNA", at positions 338 to 795 of the family's 1533-position model. The record is from RNAcentral.
CCUACGGGUGGCAGCAGUGAGGAAUAUUGGUCAAUGGACGCAAGUCUGAACCAGCCAUGCCGCGUGCAGGAAGACGGCCCUAUGAGUUGUAAACUGCUUUUGUACGAGGGUAAACUCAGAUACGCGUACCUUUCUGAAUGUACCUUAUGAAUAAGGAUCGGCUAACUCCGUGCCAGCAGCCGCGGUAAUACGGAGGAUUCAAGCGUUAUCCGGAUUUAUUGGGUUUAAAGGGUGCGUAGGCGGUCGGAUAAGUUAGAGGUGAAAUCCCGAGGCUCAACUUCGGAAUUGCAUUUGAUACUGUUAGGCUAGAGAGUAGUUGCGGUAGGCGGAAUGUAUGGUGUAGCGGUGAAAUGCUUAGAGAUCAUACAGAACACCGAUUGCGAAGGCAGCUUACCAAGCUACUUCUGACGUUGAGGCACGAAAGCGUGGGGAGCAAACAGGAUUAGAUACCCCUGUAGUC